RNAcentral lists this ribosomal RNA (658 nucleotides) under Cutaneotrichosporon jirovecii. RNAcentral describes it as "eukaryotic LSU rRNA". It matches the Rfam family "Eukaryotic large subunit ribosomal RNA", at positions 1 to 648 of the family's 3401-position model. The record is from RNAcentral. Lineage: Eukaryota; Fungi; Basidiomycota; Tremellomycetes; Trichosporonales; Trichosporonaceae.
CUGGUCUCAAAUCAGGUAGGACUACCCGCUGAACUUAAGCAUAUCAAUAAGCGGAGGAAAAGAAACUAACAAGGAUUCCUUUAGUAACGGCGAGUGAACCGGGAAAAGCUCAAAUUUGUAAUCUGGCUGUCUUCGAUAGUCCGAGUUGUAAUCUAUAGACGUGUUUUCCGUGCUGGAUCGUAUCUAAGUCCCUUGGAACAGGGUAUCAAAGAGGGUGACAAUCCCGUGCUUGAUACGACGACCAGUGCUCUGUGAUACACGUUCUACGAGUCGAGUUGUUUGGGAAUGCAGCUCAAAAUGGGUGGUAAAUUCCAUCUAAAGCUAAAUAUUGGCGAGAGACCGAUAGCGAACAAGUACCGUGAGGGAAAGAUGAAAAGCACUUUGGAAAGAGAGUUAAACAGUACGUGAAAUUGUUGAAAGGGAAACGAUUGAAGUCAGUCGUGUUCUUCAGAUUCAGCUGGUUCUUCCAGUCUACUUCUGUUGAACGGGUCAACAUCAGUUUUGUCCGGUGGAUAAAGGUAGUAGGAAUGUGACUCCCCCGGGAGUGUUAUAGCCUAUUAUUGCAUACACUGGGUGAGACUGAGGACUGCAGCUCGCCUUUUGGCCGGUCUUCGGACACGUUCGAGCUUAGGAUGUUGACAUAAUGGCUUUAAACGAC